CCUACGGGAGGCUGCAGUGAGGAAUAUUGGUCAAUGGACGAAAGUCUGAACCAGCCACGCCGCGUGAAGGAAGACGGCUCUAUGAGUUGUAAACUCCUUUUGUACGAGAGUAAAAGAAGAUACGUGUAUCUGUCUGAAAGUAUCUUACGAAUAAGGAUCGGCUAACUCCGUGCCAGCAGCCGCGGUAAUACGGAGGAUCCAAGCGUUAUCCGGAUUUAUUGGGUUUAAAGGGUGCGUAGAUGGUUGGGUAAGUCAGGAGUGAAAUGCCGGGGCUCAACUGUGGAAUUGCCAUUGAUACUGGUAGGCUGGAGUGCAGUUGAGGUAGGCGGAAUUCGUGGUGUAGCGGUGAAAUGCUUAGAUAUCACGAAGAACACCGAUUGCGAAGGCAGCUUACUAAACUGCGACUGACGUUGAGGCACGAAAGCGUGGGGAGCAAACAGGAUUAGAUACCCUAGUAGUC
Molecule: ribosomal RNA, 460 nt
Filed under: uncultured bacterium
Lineage: Bacteria
Description: partial 16S ribosomal RNA
Rfam family: Bacterial small subunit ribosomal RNA
Source: RNAcentral